Molecule: long non-coding RNA, 1328 nt
Organism: Cyanistes caeruleus (blue tit)
Lineage: Eukaryota; Metazoa; Chordata; Aves; Passeriformes; Paridae
Source: Ensembl
CGACGGUGUCUGGUUUCGGCGUGGCGGUAUCAUGCAGCCUUCAGGACACGGCCGUUCGCAGGAGACCUUGACGGAGAGACGACAGCCUGGCGAUGGCAGGAACUUCCCGGAUAGCCAGGCGGCCUUCCUUGGCGCUUCGUGUGGAUCCUCCUCAGCGGGCAUCCGAGAGCUGAGUCGAAGGCUACAACCCGCAGAGGGGAUGAAAGCGGGGUGCCGGGCCGGGACAUGUGCCCUGGGAUUUUUGAGUCAGCUUUGGGGAUGGGGAGGUCCAGGCUGUGGCCCCUUAGGCCACACGGUGGGAGAGCCUCACUUUUGUUCACAGUGCUGAGGUGUGCAGGACAGAGCAGCCUCGGGGCGCAUCGUGUCACUUGUCCGUCGUGCCUUCUGUGUCUUUUGUGCCUCUUGUGUUGUACGUGCCUUGCCCUAUCUCUUCUGGGGGCUUACCAGAAACCCCAGCGUCGCUUAUAGCAUCUCCAAUCUCUGGGCCCCUCGGCUCGGCAGCUCUCAGGGGCCUUGGAAUCGCGUCUCUUUUGACAAGCAUCCGAUCGGAUGUCUUUUAGACGUCUUGCUCCGAGCUGUGUCAACAGCCGUGCGCCGCGAGGAUCCAUUGUAGCGGCUUAGGACUUGAAGAAACGCAAAGAUAGGUAGAGGAUUGCGGCCGUAAGAUUCUUGGGCAUCCAUCCUGGCGGUUCCUGGAGUUUGUCAUUCCGUCAGCAUCUUCUUCCUCCCGGGUUCUGUGAGCUUCAUCAGCUCGCCUUCGUUCUCACCCGGCUCAUCUCGUUCCGCAUUCUCUCAGUGCUUGCGGUCGUUCUUGUGGCCCAGAGUUUUGUCUCCCCAUUGUGUCCCCUCGUCUGUUGUCUGGUGUGUCACGGGUGUCUGGGUGUAGUUGUCCCGGAGCUGCUCUGCCCUGCUGCCCAGCCUGGCUGUAGGUGUAAAAGGCCAAGUCCCAGGCCCCCGUAAUUUGAAAUCUGUGAUGUAGGGUAUAGUUGGGGUCUAGAACAUAUCCCUAGAUCAACACAAGAUGUCUGGAGCUGUGAAGUUACCCUGCAGCACUUUAACUUUUGUCUCAGCUUUCUUUCAGAUGCGGAUGGAUGAAAUCAGUGGCAGAGAGUCCCAUCCAGGGUAAGGGGGUUCCCCCGAGAAGGUAAGUCAAUGUUUGUCUUUGCAGGGCAACUGGAACCGGUCACUGUGUUACAGGUCUCCUCUUUGUCUUUAUUUUUAGGAAAUAGAGCCGGCUAGCAGCAGUCAAGGUGAAGUGGGCAAGGUGAGCGUUGAGCGGUGGAGGGAGGCUGUUGUUAUCGCUGGGCUCUCAGUUUCUGGUGCAACGC